Bactrocera oleae (olive fruit fly) is the source of this 647-nucleotide non-coding RNA. The record is from RefSeq and is a predicted model, not a curated record. NCBI's taxonomy places the organism in Eukaryota, Metazoa, Arthropoda, Insecta, Diptera, Tephritidae.
CUUAUUUUAUGAUUAUCAUUAUCUUUUUCAUAUGUUAAUAGACACUUAUAAAUGAAAAUAGAAGUGAAAAAAAUUAAAAAAAUUUUACGAGCAAAUUUGGUAUAACAAAAUGAGAUUUCCUAUAACAUUAUUACCAAAUUUUAUCCACUCUCGUUGGCGUAAACACAAAAUAGGCAAUCAAGUGGCCAACAAAAGCACAGCAGCGCCGCAAUGAUGAAGUAAAAAUUAAGAAAAGCAAAAAGCAACAACAAUAUAAAAUGUGAAAACGAACUAAAGAUCGGACAGGAGGGCGUGUGACUGCAACGAAAAGUGGGAGAGAAACACUACUAAACCGCAUAAAGCUGCAAUAAAAGUGUGUGGUGCGGAGUCGUAAAAGUUGUAAAAAAUCGGCAUUUAAAUUAAAAGCAUCGGUUGUAGUUCGGCACAUUCCACAUAAGUGUGUAGAGGUUAAAAACCAAGUUUCGUAUUCUGGUGUGUGUGCGAGGUGUGUAAGAAAUUCAAAAUUUAUAAGAAAAAUUAGUUAAGUGGCGGUAGAAGGAUGUUUACGGUGGAUAAUGCAGGAAGCGGUCGAUUUCAUUAGUUUGCUGAAAAUUUGUAAAGACAAGCAUAAAAUAAAUAGAAGAACAAGGAGAAAAGAGAAAAUUAUA